This 467-nucleotide ribosomal RNA is filed under the name uncultured bacterium. RNAcentral's name for it is "partial 16S ribosomal RNA". It matches the Rfam family "Bacterial small subunit ribosomal RNA", at positions 29 to 507 of the family's 1533-position model. The record is from RNAcentral.
ACGAACGCUGGCGGCGUGCUUAACACAUGCAAGUCGAACGGAAAGGCCCUGCUUUUGUGGGGUGCUCGAGUGGCGAACGGGUGAGUAACACGUGAGUAACCUGCCCUUGACUUUGGGAUAACUUCAGGAAACUGGGGCUAAUACCGGAUAGGAGCUCCUGCUGCAUGGUGGGGGUUGGAAAGUUUCGGCGGUUGGGGAUGGACUCGCGGCUUAUCAGCUUGUUGGUGGGGUAGUGGCUUACCAAGGCUUUGACGGGUAGCCGGCCUGAGAGGGUGACCGGCCACAUUGGGACUGAGAUACGGCCCAGACUCCUACGGGAGGCAGCAGUGGGGAAUAUUGCACAAUGGGCGUAAGCCUGAUGCAGCAACGCCGCGUGCGGGAUGACGGCCUUCGGGUUGUAAACCGCUUUCGCCUGUGACGAAGCGUGAGUGACGGUAAUGGGUAAAGAAGCACCGGCUAACUACGUG